Long non-coding RNA from Oncorhynchus masou masou (cherry salmon), 659 nucleotides. RefSeq lists it as uncharacterized. The transcript has 2 exons. Lineage: Eukaryota; Metazoa; Chordata; Actinopteri; Salmoniformes; Salmonidae. The record is from RefSeq and is a predicted model, not a curated record.
UCAAAAUUCGCUAUAUCGUAAAAGUUCAUGAAUGUAUUUCGUUGCUUUUGGUCUUCAUUUAAGGUUAGGUAUAUGGUUAUGUUUAUAAAUCUGAUUUUAAGAAGGUCAAUUAUAGAAAUAGGUGGGGUUUAGCCAUAAUUAUGACUUUGCCGAUCUGGUCACGAGUAACAACCGAUCAUCACCGCAACCCACUUCCCGACCAUUAAAGAACAUUGCACUGCUGGGACCCAUGAUCACCCAGAGGGCCAGUGUCUUCACCAGACCGGCUAAAGACCCUCUCGGCCCUUCCGAGAACAUCAUCGGACUGGGACUGUUCGCACUGGCUAUCCUGGGACCUUCCAGUUGGAUUCUCACCAACAUUGAGGACUACAAGAAGAAAGAUUAACUUAACAUGGACUCAUGUUAAUGGAUGUUCCGUACAUUCUCUACUUAUUCAAGACCCUCCUGGGACCAUCAUUACUUCACGAACUCUGUGGAACAAAUCCCCAACCUCCAUGAACUACCACUCCAUCCCCACUUUACUCUCCUCACUCCUAGUUUACUCUUCAGCCCUUUGGAGAACCGUCUGCAAAUAGAAUGGCUGCACAACAUCUCAAGAGUUGUGAAUUUUAAUUGAACAAGGAGUAUGUUACAAUAAUAAAACAUAAUUCAACUUUAAA